UUAUACCUGACGUAGGGGUUACCGUGAUCCAGAAGGCUGUUCUCCCUUCCAUCACAUUAGGGUUGGGUUGACCCCUGCGAUUGCCCCAAAUGUGGGUAACUCGGGUGCGUAAAUUUUUUGUAGUCGGGGCUGCGUUCGCGCCCAGA
RNAcentral lists this small nuclear RNA (146 nucleotides) under Zootermopsis nevadensis. RNAcentral describes it as "U1 spliceosomal RNA". It matches the Rfam family "U1 spliceosomal RNA". From Rfam's summary of the family: U1 is a small nuclear RNA (snRNA) component of the spliceosome (involved in pre-mRNA splicing). Its 5' end forms complementary base pairs with the 5' splice junction, thus defining the 5' donor site of an intron. Lineage: Eukaryota; Metazoa; Arthropoda; Insecta; Blattodea; Termopsidae. The record is from RNAcentral.